This 429-nucleotide ribosomal RNA is filed under the name Bacteroidota bacterium. RNAcentral's name for it is "Bacteroidetes bacterium partial 16S ribosomal RNA". It matches the Rfam family "Bacterial small subunit ribosomal RNA", at positions 355 to 776 of the family's 1533-position model. The record is from RNAcentral. Lineage: Bacteria; Pseudomonadati; Bacteroidota.
UAGGGAAUCUUCCGCAAUGGACGCAAGUCUGACGGAGCAACGCCGCGUGAGUGAAGAAGGAUUUCGGUUCGUAAAACUCUGUUGUUAGAGAAGAACAGCGCAUAGAGUAACUGUUAUGCGUGUGACGGUAUCUAACCAGAAAGCCACGGCUAACUACGUGCCAGCAGCCGCGGUAAUACGUAGGUGGCAAGCGUUGUCCGGAUUUAUUGGGCGUAAAGCGAGCGCAGGCGGUCAAUUAAGUCUGAUGUGAAAGCCCCCGGCUCAACCGGGGAGGGUCAUUGGAAACUGGUUGACUUGAGUACAGAAGAGGGGAGUGGAAUUCCAUGUGUAGCGGUGAAAUGCGUAGAUAUAUGGAGGAACACCAGUGGCGAAGGCGACUCUCUGGUCUGUAACUGACGCUGAGGCUCGAAAGCGUAGGUAGCAAACAGG